RNAcentral lists this ribosomal RNA (496 nucleotides) under uncultured bacterium. RNAcentral's name for it is "bacterial SSU rRNA". It matches the Rfam family "Bacterial small subunit ribosomal RNA", at positions 8 to 486 of the family's 1533-position model. The record is from RNAcentral.
AGAGUUUGAUCCUGGCUCAGAACGAACGUUAGCGGCGCGCUUAACACAUGCAAGUCGAGCGAGAAAGGGCUUCGGCCCCGGUAAAGCGGCGCACGGGUGAGUAACACGUGGGUAAUCUGCCCUCGAGUGGUGGAUAACUCCCCGAAAGGGGAGCUAAUACAGCAUAAGACCACGACUCUCCGGAGUUGGGGUCAAAGCGGGCCUCUCCAUGGAAGCUCGCGCUUGAGGAUGAGCCUGCGGCCCAUCAGCUUGUUGGUGGUGUAAAAGACCACCAAGGCGAAGACGGGUAGCUGGUCUGAGAGGAUGAACAGCCACACUGGAACUGAGACACGGUCCAGACUCCUACGGGAGGCAGCAGUGGGGAAUCUUGCGCAAUGGGCGAAAGCCUGACGCAGCGACGCCGCGUGAGCGAUGAAGGCCUUCGGGUUGUAAAGCUCUGUGGAGAGGGACGAAUAAGGGCUGGCGAAUACCCAGCCUGAUGACGGUACCUCUUUAG